AGGCAGCAGUUGGGAAUCUUCCGCAAUGGACGAAAGUCUGACGGAGCAACGCCGCGUGAGCGAAGAAGGCCUUCGGGUCGUAAAGCUCUGUUGUCAGGAAAGAACAAGUACCGGAGUAACUGCCGGCACCUUGACGGUACCUGACCAGAAAGCCACGGCUAACUACGUGCCAGCAGCCGCGGUAAUACGUAGGUGGCAAGCGUUGUCCGGAAUUAUUGGGCGUAAAGCGCGCGCAGGCGGCCCUUUAAGUCUGAUGUGAAAGCCCACGGCUCAACCGUGGAGGGUCAUUGGAAACUGGGGGACUUGAGUGCAGAAGAGGAGAGCGGAAUUCCACGUGUAGCGGUGAAAUGCGUAGAGAUGUGGAGGAACACCAGUGGCGAAGGCGGCUCUCUGGUCUGUAACUGAUGCUGAGGCGCGGAAGCGUGGGGAGCGAACAGGAUUAGAUACCCUAGUAGUCC
RNAcentral lists this ribosomal RNA (458 nucleotides) under uncultured bacterium. Its description in RNAcentral is "bacterial SSU rRNA". It matches the Rfam family "Bacterial small subunit ribosomal RNA", at positions 346 to 796 of the family's 1533-position model. The record is from RNAcentral.